UUUUUUUUUUUUUUUUUUAGAGACCAGUCUUGCUAUGUUGCCCAGGCUGGUCUCAAACUCCUUGGCUCAGGUGAUCAUGCCUCAGCCUCCUGAGUAGCUGGGACUACAAGUGCGUGCCACCAUUCCUUGCUUAGUGCUUUCUGUCUUUUAUAGUUAAGGGUAUUUCCUACUGAAUUAUUCAAUAUCCUUCACAUAAGGGAAAAGAAAAAAGCCCAGCCAGGAAUAUUGCCACCCUAGGCCUUCCUUGCUUGAGUUUCCAUUUAUCACCAUCAUCUCUUAUUAAGGAAUUUCUAGUUCUUGAGUGAGAAAGUUCAUUCCUCCCAGUCCUUCAGAGGACUCUGAUCCUCAUUUUCAGCCUUCACACACUCCAGGUUACCAUGGUCCAGGAGCCGUGUAGGGUGCUAAGCUUAUAAUGUCAUCCCUAAUGGGAAAGAAUCCAUGGACAGUGGACAUCGCCCAUGCAGAGUGACAGGUGGUAGGAUAGGAGGUAGAGUGUGGCAAAAAGGCAGAUGUCAGCCAGGCGCGGUGGCUCAUCCCUGUAAUCUCAGCCCUUUGGGAGGCCGAAGCGAGCAGAUGAGGUCAGGAGUUCAAGACCAGCUUGGCCAACAUGGCAAAACCUGUCUAUACUAAAAAUAAAGAAAAUUAGCUGGGUGUGGCGGUGCCUGCCUGUAAUCCCAGCUACUACAGAGGCUGAGGCAGGAGAAUCACUUAAACCCAGGGGGUGGAGGUUGCAGUGAGCUGAGAUUGCACCACUGCACCCCAGCCUGGGCAACACAGUGAGACUCCAUCUCAAAAAAAAAAAAAGAGAAAAAAGAAAAAAGCAGAUGUGGUCAUCUCUUUCCGGAUGGGCAGAAAGAGCCAGGGAGGGCCUCCUGGAGGAGGAGGUGGCACUUCAGCAGAAUCUUGAAGGCUGAGGAUUCCGCCAGGCUGGGAAGGUGUGGAGGGGUAGGAAACAGAGGGACCAGCAGAGAAUAAAACAGCAUGAAGGGUGCAGCAGACUUCUUCCUGGGUGCUGCGAGUUGCAGGGCCUGGGCAGAGCCAGGGUAUAGGGAGUGAUCAGGAGGGGAGUCCCGACAAGGAAGUGACAGGGGCCAGGCAGACACAGCAUGGCUUAAGAACAAUGAAGAACUUUGGACUCUCUCCUGGCCCAGAUGUGAAUCAAUCAUUUCUCCUCCUUGGUUUAGCUUCAAUGAGAAUUUUAAAAGAGAAUUUUUGCUAAAAUACAAAGGGAAAAGCAAACAAAUACGAAAGCAUAGAAACAAAAAGCUCAGAGAUCCCAGAUUUCUCAGCCUGCUCCACUAAGUUCUGGCCCUAGAUGGGCUUGGCCCCAGCCCUGUUUCUCUCCUCAACCCGGCCCAUGUGCAUGUCGGGACUGCCCAGCACAGGCCCUGUCCAUGGGUUCAACAAGGGGGCAGAU
Molecule: long non-coding RNA, 1417 nt
Filed under: Macaca fascicularis (crab-eating macaque)
Lineage: Eukaryota; Metazoa; Chordata; Mammalia; Primates; Cercopithecidae
Description: lncRNA (ENSMFAG00000061296.1)
Source: RNAcentral